This 527-nucleotide long non-coding RNA is filed under the name Anas platyrhynchos platyrhynchos (common mallard). RNAcentral's name for it is "lncRNA (ENSAPLG00000029917.1)". Lineage: Eukaryota; Metazoa; Chordata; Aves; Anseriformes; Anatidae. The record is from RNAcentral.
GAGGAGUCUUUGCCCAGAUACAGAUGAUUAGUCACUGCUGUUCUGCUUUCUGCAGAACUUGCUUUCUCCUGACCUGAAAUUGAGGAAACUCCCACCAGAGCACAGAACUGUGCCUUCCUAAAAUGGUGCCUUUGGGGUUCACCAGCUGUGCAGUCAGCUGUGUCCCUGUGGCUCAUCUCAGCAUUGGAUUUCCUCCAGGCUUCUCAAUAGGACAGACAGACUGAACGUGGAGCAGAGCUGCUGCUGCCAGAGGAGGCAGAGUGUGAUUAUUUUUCAUCUUGAUACUGCUUUCAGCAGAAGACUGGAAAGGCAGCACUGUUCUCCAUGGGGUACAGAGGAGAUGGAGACCAAAGGCCACUAUAUGCUUCAGGUUGAUUCUCUGGCUGAAAAUGAAAGCCAUUUCCCAUUUCCCUGCUUUGCAUUACUGCUGCAUCCUCAGCUUUAAGAGGAUUCAUUCCCUUUCAUAUUUAGAUUAUUCAUAUUUUCUGUUUUAUUCAUCCUUAGAAGACCAGAAGGCCUCCCUCCAC